RNAcentral lists this ribosomal RNA (469 nucleotides) under uncultured bacterium. RNAcentral's name for it is "partial 16S ribosomal RNA". It matches the Rfam family "Bacterial small subunit ribosomal RNA", at positions 355 to 815 of the family's 1533-position model. The record is from RNAcentral.
UGGGGAAUCUUCCGCAAUGGACGAGAGUCUGACGGAGCAACGCCGCGUGUAUGAUGAGGGUCUUCGGAUUGUAAAGUACUGUCAUUGGGGAAGAACGGUUUUCUUGAGAAUAUUGAGAAGACAUGACGGUACCCAAGGAGGAAGCCCCGGCUAACUACGUGCCAGCAGCCGCGGUAAUACGUAGGGGGCAAGCGUUGUCCGGAAUUAUUGGGCGUAAAGGGCGCGUAGGCGGGCCUUUAAGUCCGGUGUGAAAGAUCAGGGCUCAACCCUGAGAGUGCAUCGGAAACUGGAGGCCUUGAGGACAGGAGAGGAAAGUGGAAUUCCACGUGUAGCGGUGAAAUGCGUAGACAUGUGGAGGAACACCAGUGGCGAAGGCGACUUUCUGGACUGUAACUGACGCUGAGGCGCGAAAGCGUGGGGAGCAAACAGGAUUAGAUACCCUGGUAGUCCACGCCGUAAACGAUGAGUG